This 77-nucleotide small RNA is filed under the name Arabidopsis thaliana (thale cress). Its description in RNAcentral is "ATSL303110". Lineage: Eukaryota; Viridiplantae; Streptophyta; Magnoliopsida; Brassicales; Brassicaceae. The record is from RNAcentral.
UUUUUUUGAUGAUAUUUGAAGUCUAAAUAGUAACCUACACACUUUUUCUUUAUUAUAAUUUAGUAUUUAGAAGAAAA